RNAcentral lists this long non-coding RNA (1684 nucleotides) under Felis catus (domestic cat). RNAcentral describes it as "lncRNA (ENSFCAG00000046834.1)". The record is from RNAcentral. Lineage: Eukaryota; Metazoa; Chordata; Mammalia; Carnivora; Felidae.
AGCGGCGCCCCGGGGGCCCCCGAGGAGCAGCGCUACCGGAACCCGGGCCCGGCCGCCGCCCUCCGCCCCCCGGGCGCGGCCCGCCCCCGCCGCCUCCUCGGCGCCCCCAGCCCGCGCCCCCCGCUCCCCACCCCGGGCCUCCGCGCCGCGCCGGGCCCGGUUCCCAGCCGCCGCCGGGACCGCGCGCCCGCGACGAAGUUUGGCUCCGAAGACGGAGCGGGAGCAGCCCCGGAAGGGUAAGGAAAGGAGCGCCCAAGCACCUCAGGGGAACAGGCUCCUCCCGCCGCUGGAGUCCGACCGUCCUCGGCCUGCUGUUGCGGCUCGGCGGGGACCGGAGCUGCUCCUCGGACCUUCCUCCGUCUCCGCCUCCCCUCGCUCUCCGCUCCUAGGGCCGGGAGCUCGGUGGGUGAAACUGACCAGAAGCCCAGCAACAGCUUUAGGGUCAGCCCCGCCCCCAGCCGAGUAGCCAAUCAGCGCGACCUCCGCGCAGCCGCACGCCGCAGGCUACCUCCAGGCGUGCAGGCUACACCUCCCGAGGCCGCCGCCGCCUCUGGAGAACUUGGAGGGGAAGCAAUAGGGAGACUCCCUGCAGGGCCAGAGGCUGGGGAGACACGCAGUCCCAGAGGAGGGUUAGCCCUCCCCUCUGGUCCCCCGGCCUUGCGUCAGGCUGCACGCGCCACCACCGCGUGGGAGGAAAAGCCUGCCCCUGGGAGAAUUCUCCAUCUACCCUGGAUCCCUGGGGAUGCCUGCCAGGGAGCAUUGGGACUCUGGGGAGCUUUGCUUUCUUGCCUCUGAGGCUCUGCAAAGGCCUAGCUGUCAGCAGGAAACAGGAGGGCCUAAUCCCAGAGGUUUGAGGACGCGCGUUGGCUCCCGGAGCCUCCACUGCGGCAGAGGAGGACGCGAGAGUGGCACCGGUGCCCGGUGGCGCUUCACAGGUGAGUGAUGAAAGGCGCAAGCCAUAGCUGCCAAGGAAAGAAAGAAACACACCAGGCCGUGCCCCAUAGAACCAAGUAAAGCAAAGACGGAUAAAGCGACUCAGUCACCCUGAGAGCCUGCCUGAAGCCCCAAAUUGACCCUUGGGUCCCCUGUAGUUAGGGAUGCUGUUUAUUUACUUAUCAUAGAUCUUGUGGACGCACCCUGUCAAAAGAGCAUCUCUUGACCGCAUUUUCGAGUUCCACAGUGCUGACCCUCGGCGGUUUGAUGUCAGGAAUAGGCUUCUCCUAAUUCCCAGGACUUGGCCUAUGUGAUAUUAGAGCUUUUUCUGUGUUCUAGAACCAGUGACCAAAGUCUCUUGAGAAGAGCCUCAGUGUUAAGGAUGCAUCUGAUUCUAGCCUGCGGAAGUGGGGCUGAAAUGUUUUCUUCUGGGGUGGAAUGGAGGACAGGUGCAGUCCGUGUUGCUAACUCCUUUCCUCGUGGCUUCAACUCAAGCCUCCGGUUUGGUGCUGUGAUUAAUUUUGCCCUAAAGCAGAGUUUCUCAGCCUGGGUAUCAUGGACAUCUUGGGGUCUGAUAAUCGUUUGUUGUUCGGGGAUGUCCUGUGCGUUGUAGGAUUUAGCAACAUCCCUGGCCUCCAGAGGCCAGUAGCGGUGCCUCGAGUUGUGACAACAAAAAAAUGUCUCCAGACAUCGCCAAAUACGUCUGGGUGGGCAAAAUCACGCUUACUUGAAAAUUACGGUUCAGAAGGAG